RNAcentral lists this ribosomal RNA (302 nucleotides) under uncultured bacterium. Its description in RNAcentral is "partial 16S ribosomal RNA". It matches the Rfam family "Bacterial small subunit ribosomal RNA", at positions 508 to 809 of the family's 1533-position model. The record is from RNAcentral.
GCAGCAGCCGCGGUAAUACGGAGGGUGCAAGCGUUAUCCGGAUUUAUUGGGUUUAAAGGGUCCGUAGGCGGAUCUGUAAGUCAGUGGUGAAAUCUCACAGCUUAACUGUGAAACUGCCAUUGAUACUGCAGGUCUUGAGUAAAUUUGAAGUGGCUGGAAUAAGUAGUGUAGCGGUGAAAUGCAUAGAUAUUACUUAGAACACCAAUUGCGAAGGCAGGUCACUAAGAUUUAACUGACGCUGAUGGACGAAAGUGUGGGGAGCGAACAGGAUUAGAUACCCCUGUAGUCCCUGUCUCUUAUAU